This 228-nucleotide ribosomal RNA is filed under the name uncultured bacterium. Its description in RNAcentral is "partial 16S ribosomal RNA". It matches the Rfam family "Bacterial small subunit ribosomal RNA", at positions 15 to 231 of the family's 1533-position model. The record is from RNAcentral.
GAUCAUGGCUCAGGAUGAACGCUAGCUACAGGCUUAACACAUGCAAGUCGAGGGGCAGCAUGGUCUUAGCUUGCUAAGGUCCGAUGGCGACCGGCGCACGGGUGAGUAACACGUAUCCAACCUGCCGUCUACUCGUUGGACAGCCUUCUGAAAGGAAGAUUAAUACAAGAUGGCAUCAUGAGUCCACAUGUUCACAUAGAUUAAAGGUAUUCCGGUAGACGAUGGGGA